UGGGUGUCUUUCUUCUUUGAUCUACAUAUUCUUGUAUGUACCUUCCCAGCAGGCCUAUGGUUCUGCAUCAAAAAUAUCAACGAUGAAAGAGUAUUCGUUGCUCUGUAUGCAAUCAGUGCUGUCUACUUUGCUGGAGUGAUGGUGCGGCUGAUGUUGACUUUGACUCCAGUCGUCUGUAUGCUGUCUGCAAUUGCCUUCUCAAAUGUUUUUGAGCACUAUUUGGGGGAUGACAUGAAAA
This is a non-coding RNA of Heterocephalus glaber (naked mole-rat), 238 nucleotides long. The record is from RefSeq and is a predicted model, not a curated record. Lineage: Eukaryota; Metazoa; Chordata; Mammalia; Rodentia; Bathyergidae.